GACGAACGCUGGCGGCGUGCUUAACACAUGCAAGUCGAACGGUGAAGGGACCAGCUUGCUGGUUCUGGAUGAGUGGCGAACGGGUGAGUAACACGUGAGUAACCUGCCCCCUUCUUCUGGAUAACCGCAUGAAAGUGUGGCUAAUACGGGAUAUUCUGGGUCUGUCGCAUGGCGGGCCCGGGAAAGAUAUUGCUUCGGUGGGGGAUGGGCUCGCGGCCUAUCAGCUUGUUGGUGGGGUGAUGGCCUACCAAGGCGGUGACAGGUAGCCGGCCUGAGAGGGUGGACGGUCACACUGGGACUGAGACACGGCCCAGACUCCUACGGGAGGCAGCAGUGGGGAAUAUUGCACAAUGGGCGCAAGCCUGAUGCAGCGACGCCGCGUGAGGGAUGGAGGCCUUCGGGUUGUAAACCUCUUUCGCCAGUGAAGCAGGCCUGCUCCGUGUGGGUGGGUUGACGGUAGCUGGAUAAGAAGCGCCGGCUAACUACGUG
Molecule: ribosomal RNA, 489 nt
Filed under: uncultured bacterium
Lineage: Bacteria
Description: partial 16S ribosomal RNA
Rfam family: Bacterial small subunit ribosomal RNA
Source: RNAcentral